UACGUAGGGCGCAAGCGUUAUCCGGAAUUAUUGGGCGUAAAGAGCUCGUAGGCGGUUUGUCGCGUCUGCCGUGAAAGUCCGGGGCUCAACUCCGGAUCUGCGGUGGGUACGGGCAGACUAGAGUGAUGUAGGGGAGACUGGAAUUCCUGGUGUAGCGGUGAAAUGCGCAGAUAUCAGGAGGAACACCGAUGGCGAAGGCAGGUCUCUGGGCAUUAACUGACGCUGAGGAGAGAAAGCAUGGGGAGCGAACAGGAUUAGAAAACCCCGUAGUCC
This 273-nucleotide ribosomal RNA is filed under the name uncultured bacterium. RNAcentral describes it as "partial 16S ribosomal RNA". It matches the Rfam family "Bacterial small subunit ribosomal RNA", at positions 524 to 796 of the family's 1533-position model. The record is from RNAcentral.